CAGAUCCACUUCAAGCAGUUGUAAUUCAUCCUUGGUGCAGUGUAAAAGUUACACUCCAAUGUAAUACUGAAUGAUGAGAGAAGAGCACAGAACUCAUCCUCAGCAGAGGAGGGACGGCCGCCUCCUCAGCCUCCGUGUCCCACCGCCACCCAGUGCCCUACAUUCAUACAGGCAUUGCUGUGCGGUGUGGUUCAGCAGCAAGCAGCUGUGGCGGGUGCCAGGCUUCACUGCUAUGCAGCUCCAGAUGUUCCCACACAUUUUGUCAGGAGGACGCUAGGCCUCCAACUGAAGUGCCCAUGAACUUCCCUCUACCCCACGUCCACUUCUUGUUCCACAGAGGUACAACACCUGAGCACUUGUAGUGCUCUUACAGAUGUAGGAAUUGAACAUCAAAACACCUUACAUGCGCUUGGAAAACAGAACAGCUUUCUUACGGUGUAGAUUUGGAAGAAAAAUGCAAAUAGUGAAAUGCUCUUUUGAUGACUGAUGUGCUAUGACAGGACCUGGUAAAUCCCCCGGGCCUGUCUGCCCUUUCAUAUUUGAGGCCUUAAGGUGAUGAGAUGGGGAAAAAGGGAAACACUGAAAAAAUCAGGCCUACUACCAAGAGCAAAUUAGCAUCUUCUCACCAAAGCUUUGCCACUGAACUUGUUCCUGAAGAAAAGAAUACUUAACAUUUUCUUUGGGGCAUUCUAUAAAGCUGGGGCUCCUCCUCAUUUCUUAUUACUGUCCCAUUUCUAACUGAGGGAAAUCAUUGUUCAACCUUUUCUCUGGCAUCAUUAUUCCCUUAUGCUAGGAAAGCGUUCCAGUCUGUGCUCUGUCUAGAGAGCAUUUCUGCUGGGUGCGAGCACGCACUUUACACGUGCCUUUUAGUAAACUGUACAUUCUGGGGAAGUAUUUGUCACAUAUGAAGAGUCUAGACUACCCAGAUGAGACCAUUACGUUGUCAUCUGGCCAUAACCCAAAACAAAUAUUAUCCCUCCCGUGACUACAUUAGACUAAUAUCACUAAGUCCUUAAAUACUCCCAAGCGUUCUUGUUUCCUCCUGGCUUGUGCCCUGUUCCAUCAGAGUGAAGCAGGCUCGUGCACUGUGCUGCAGCUCUGAUGAGGAAAUGGGCCAUUUGGUGGCAUUUCAGCCCAUUUGCUACACACAGCCUUGGACAUGGUUUAAGACAUGGCGCAUGCAGGAACUUGUGUUGUUCCAGGAUCCCUGUGCAGCAGCAUAGAAAAUAGAAUUAAAGGCCCUAAGACUUUUAUUACCAGGCAGAGGAGCGGUCAUCUUCUCUUCAUAAUGACUAAAAUGAAUACAAAUAAGAUUUAGUAAUAACUGAAGUUGAAGGCCAAAAUCUAAUGUGCCAGUUACCAACACAUACAACCAGGGACAGCAGAGAAUAGAGUUCAGGAUGCAGCCUGACCUACCUCCCAGAUGAGUAUGUGGACAUUGUGUGGAACAUCUUUGAACAACUGUGGCAACCUGAAGAAGUUCCUGA
Gallus gallus (chicken) is the source of this 1487-nucleotide long non-coding RNA. The record is from Ensembl. NCBI's taxonomy places the organism in Eukaryota, Metazoa, Chordata, Aves, Galliformes, Phasianidae.